RNAcentral lists this transfer RNA (68 nucleotides) under Asterionellopsis glacialis. The record is from RNAcentral. Lineage: Eukaryota; Bacillariophyta; Plagiogrammaphyceae; Rhaphoneidales; Asterionellopsidaceae.
UGCAGCCAUGAAGCCUACGGUUUCGAUGCCGGGCCAAGCAAUGGCACCGUUUGCUGUCCAAAAUAUGC